Molecule: ribosomal RNA, 420 nt
Filed under: uncultured bacterium
Lineage: Bacteria
Description: bacterial SSU rRNA
Rfam family: Bacterial small subunit ribosomal RNA
Source: RNAcentral
UGGGGAAUAUUGCACAAUGGGCGCAAGCCUGAUGCAGCAACGCCGCGUGAGGGACGACGGCCUUCGGGUUGUAAACCUCUUUUAGUAGGGAAGAAGCGAAAGUGACGGUACCUGCAGAAAAAGCACCGGCUAACUACGUGCCAGCAGCCGCGGUAAUACGUAGGGUGCAAGCGUUAUCCGGAAUUAUUGGGCGUAAAGAGCUCGUAGGCGGUUUGUCGCGUCUGCUGUGAAAACUGGAGGCUCAACCUCCAGCCUGCAGUGGGUACGGGCAGACUAGAGUGCGGUAGGGGAGAUUGGAAUUCCUGGUGUAGCGGUGGAAUGCGCAGAUAUCAGGAGGAACACCGAUGGCGAAGGCAGAUCUCUGGGCCGUAACUGACGCUGAGGAGCGAAAGCAUGGGGAGCGAACAGGAUUAGAUACCC